Long non-coding RNA from Magnolia sinica, 545 nucleotides. RefSeq lists it as uncharacterized. The record is from RefSeq and is a predicted model, not a curated record. The transcript has 2 exons. NCBI's taxonomy places the organism in Eukaryota, Viridiplantae, Streptophyta, Magnoliopsida, Magnoliales, Magnoliaceae.
GGACAGAUGAGAGUGGGAGGAAUAGUAUAAUGCCAACUUAGAAAUUGUGAUGAUUUUUUCUAUAUGCUGUAGGCACAAGUUGAUUUGCUCUCAUUCAAUUAGUCAAGAAAACCUCAUAAGUCAAAGCUUCUCAAGGAUUUGAUUGUUCAGAUACAUUGUAGAAGCCCUGGAGAUGCUAUUGAUGUCCAUGGCAAAAGAUGGCACUGAGGCUCUUGGGCUCAAUGGGAAAUGAUGCUCCUUUGGCUGUGAUGUCCAACAGAGAGAAACUUACAUUUGAGUAUUUCAAGCAGAUGUUUGCUCAGGUAACAAACCCACCGAUUGAUCUGAUCCGAGAGAAAAUAGUCACGUGGAAGGGGACCUUACUGAAAUAGUUCAUGUGGAAGGCUAUGUGGCAGUUUGUUUGUUUUGAAAACUUUCAAUAGACCAUUAAUUGUUUUGUUGGUAUUGUGCUGAUUGUUGUCUUGAUGGAUGUUAAAUGGGUGAAACAUGCACAGGUUCAAUGAUUGGUUGAUUAUAAUAUUGUUAGCUUUUGUUGAUAGAAACUA